Molecule: long non-coding RNA, 542 nt
Filed under: Marmota monax (woodchuck)
Lineage: Eukaryota; Metazoa; Chordata; Mammalia; Rodentia; Sciuridae
Source: RNAcentral
AGACAAGAAAAAUCUCAGGCUGGUGACAUCUGAACCACAUUCUGUGGGAUGGUUGCUAGACUUUUAGAUUUUGCAAAAUGAAGGAGGUAAGUUCCAGGCAGAGGCUACAGCUUGAGCACAGGAUGGAGCUUUGGAACCAUAGGGUCUACUCAGGGGAAAGAUCUUAGCAGGGAGUAAAUGUGGACGCAGAACUUGGUCUUUAUAGUGUUGGGAAAAUAUGGGUAGGUUUAUUCCAGGCUGUGGUCAAAUCUGUACUUUAUUGAAAUAAUUCUGAUAGUCACCAGGGAGGCUGGAUGACAAGGCACAGAAAAGGGAACAGGAUGCUGGGUUAGGGGCCUUGCAACUUCUGGGAGAACAUGACAAAAACAUCCCUAGGGCAGGGGAAGUGAGGUUGAUGACUCAAGCACAUACUUAGAGAAUUUGUCAAUCUUUCUCAUAUUUGGUUGUCCAUUAAACCACCUGGGGAGCUUUAAGCCACUCUGAUACCCAGAACACAGAUCAGAACAAUUACGUUAGUAUUUCUGAGGACAGAGCAGGACAUC